This 253-nucleotide ribosomal RNA is filed under the name uncultured bacterium. Its description in RNAcentral is "partial 16S ribosomal RNA". It matches the Rfam family "Bacterial small subunit ribosomal RNA", at positions 524 to 776 of the family's 1533-position model. The record is from RNAcentral.
UACGGAGGGUGCGAGCUUUGUCCGGAUUUAUUGGGUUUAAAGGGUGCGUAGGCGGCUGUCUAAGUCAGGGGUGAAAGCCCGUUGCUCAACAACGGAACGGCCUUGGAUACUGCACAGCUUGAGUACAGACGAGGUGGGCGGAAUGGACAGAGUAGAGGUGAAAUGCAUAGAUACGGUCCAGAACCCCGAUUGCGAAGGCAGCUGACUAGGCUGAUACUGACGCUGAGGCACGAAAGCGUGGGGAGCGAACAGG